GAUCCUGGCUCAGGAUGAACGCUAGCUACAGGCUUAACACAUGCAAUUCGAGGGGCAGCAUGGUCUUAGCUUGCUAAGGCUGAUGGCGACCGGCGCACGGGUGAGUAACACGUAUCCAACCUGCCGUCUACUCUUGGCUAGCCUUCUGAAAGGAAGAUUAAUCCAGGAUGGGAUCAUGAGUUCACAUGUCCGCAUGAUUAAAGGUAUUUUCCGGUAGACGAUGGGGA
Molecule: ribosomal RNA, 227 nt
Filed under: uncultured bacterium
Lineage: Bacteria
Description: partial 16S ribosomal RNA
Rfam family: Bacterial small subunit ribosomal RNA
Source: RNAcentral